ACGCUGGCGGCGUGCCUAAUACAUGCAAGUCGAGCGAGCGGAACUAACAGAUUUACUUCGGUAAUGACGUUAGGAAAGCGAGCGGCGGAUGGGUGAGUAACACGUGGGGAACCUGCCCCAUAGUCUGGGAUACCACUUGGAAACAGGUGCUAAUACCGGAUAAGAAAGCAGAUCGCAUGAUCAGCUUUUAAAAGGCGGCGUAAGCUGUCGCUAUGGGAUGGCCCCGCGGUGCAUUAGCUAGUUGGUAAGGUAAAGGCUUACCAAGGCGAUGAUGCAUAGCCGAGUUGAGAGACUGAUCGGCCACAUUGGGACUGAGACACGGCCCAAACUCCUACGGGAGGCAGCAGUAGGGAAUCUUCCACAAUGGACGAAAGUCUGAUGGAGCAACGCCGCGUGAGUGAAGAAGGUUUUCGGAUCGUAAAGCUCUGUUGUUGGUGAAGAAGGAUAGAGGUAGUAACUGGCCUUUAUUUGACGGUAAUCAACCAGAAAGUCACGGCUAACUACGUGCCAGCAGCCGCGGUAAUACGUAGGUGGCAAGCGUUGUCCGGAUUUAUUGGGCGUAAAGCGAGCGCAGGCGGAAGAAUAAGUCUGAUGUGAAAGCCCUCGGCUUAACCGAGGAACUGCAUCGGAAACUGUUUUUCUUGAGUGCAGAAGAGGAGAGUGGAACUCCAUGUGUAGCGGUGGAAUGCGUAGAUAUAUGGAAGAACACCAGUGGCGAAGGCGGCUCUCUGGUCUGCAACUGACGCUGAGGCUCGAAAGCAUGGGUAGCGAACAGGAUUAGAUACCCUGGUAGUCCAUGCCGUAAACGAUGAGUGCUAAGUGUUGGGAGGUUUCCGCCUCUCAGUGCUGCAGCUAACGCAUUAAGCACUCCGCCUGGGGAGUACGACCGCAAGGUUGAAACUCAAAGGAAUUGACGGGGGCCCGCACAAGCGGUGGAGCAUGUGGUUUAAUUCGAAGCAACGCGAAGAACCUUACCAGGUCUUGACAUCUAGUGCCAUUUGUAGAGAUACAAAGUUCCCUUCGGGGACGCUAAGACAGGUGGUGCAUGGCUGUCGUCAGCUCGUGUCGUGAGAUGUUGGGUUAAGUCCCGCAACGAGCGCAACCCUUGUUAUUAGUUGCCAGCAUUAAGUUGGGCACUCUAAUGAGACUGCCGGUGACAAACCGGAGGAAGGUGGGGAUGACGUCAAGUCAUCAUGCCCCUUAUGACCUGGGCUACACACGUGCUACAAUGGGCAGUACAACGAGAAGCGAGCCUGCGAAGGCAAGCGAAUCUCUGAAAGCUGUUCUCAGUUCGGACUGCAGUCUGCAACUCGACUGCACGAAGCUGGAAUCGCUAGUAAUCGCGGAUCAGCACGCCGCGGUGAAUACGUUCCCGGGCCUUGUACACACCGCCCGUCACACCAUGGGAGUCUGCAAUGCCCAAAGCCGGUGGCCUAACCUUCGGGAAGGAGC
This 1452-nucleotide ribosomal RNA is filed under the name Lactobacillus crispatus. Its description in RNAcentral is "bacterial SSU rRNA". It matches the Rfam family "Bacterial small subunit ribosomal RNA". Lineage: Bacteria; Bacillati; Bacillota; Bacilli; Lactobacillales; Lactobacillaceae. The record is from RNAcentral.